GGAUGGAUGUCUGAGUGGUUGAAAGAGUCGGUCUUGAAAACCGAAGUAUUGAUAGGAAUACCGGGGGUUCGAAUCCCUCUCCAUCCG
Molecule: transfer RNA, 87 nt
Organism: Setaria italica (foxtail millet)
Lineage: Eukaryota; Viridiplantae; Streptophyta; Magnoliopsida; Poales; Poaceae
Rfam family: tRNA
About the family: Transfer RNA (tRNA) molecules are approximately 80 nucleotides in length.
Source: Rfam